Molecule: small nucleolar RNA, 150 nt
Organism: Molossus molossus (Pallas's mastiff bat)
Lineage: Eukaryota; Metazoa; Chordata; Mammalia; Chiroptera; Molossidae
Product: small nucleolar RNA SNORA57
Exons: 1
Source: RefSeq, a predicted model, not a curated record
UCUCCUCUUCUUGGUGGGUGUAGGCAUGCGGCCCAGUCCCUGUAAUAAUGUACCGGGGCUGAGGAAAAGGGUCCCACCCCCCUUGGCAUCAUGUCUUUGGUGAUCAUGCUUUUCAGUCCACCCCUUCUAUCCUCAAGCACCAGGACAUGG